This 1374-nucleotide ribosomal RNA is filed under the name uncultured bacterium. RNAcentral describes it as "bacterial SSU rRNA". It matches the Rfam family "Bacterial small subunit ribosomal RNA", at positions 8 to 1384 of the family's 1533-position model. The record is from RNAcentral.
AGAGUUUGAUCCUGGCUCAGGAUGAACGCUGGCGGCGUGCUUAACACAUGCAAGUCGAACGAAGCACCUGGAUUUGAUUCUUCGGAUGAAGAUCCUUGUGACUGAGUGGCGGACGGGUGAGUAACGCGUGGGUAACCUGCCUCAUACAGGGGGAUAACAGUUAGAAAUGACUGCUAAUACCGCAUAAGACCACAAAGCCGCAUGGCUUAGUGGGAAAAACUCCGGUGGUAUGAGAUGGACCCGCGUCUGAUUAGGUAGUUGGUGGGGUAACGGCCUACCAAGCCGACGAUCAGUAGCCGACCUGAGAGGGUGACCGGCCACAUUGGGACUGAGACACGGCCCAAACUCCUACGGGAGGCAGCAGUGGGGAAUAUUGCACAAUGGGGGAAACCCUGAUGCAGCGACGCCGCGUGAGCGAAGAAGUAUUUCGGUAUGUAAAGCUCUAUCAGCAGGGAAGAAAAUGACGGUACCUGACUAAGAAGCACCGGCUAAAUACGUGCCAGCAGCCGCGGUAAUACGUAUGGUGCAAGCGUUAUCCGGAUUUACUGGGUGUAAAGGGAGCGUACACGGCUGUGUAAGUCUGAAGUGAAAGCCCGGGGCUCAACCCCGGGACUGCUUUGGAAACUAUGCAGCUAGAGUGUCGGAGAGGUAAGUGGAAUUCCCAGUGUAGCGGUGAAAUGCGUAGAUAUUGGGAGGAACACCAGUGGCGAAGGCGGCUUACUGGACGAUGACUGACGUUGAGGCUCGAAAGCGUGGGAGCAAACAGGAUUAGAUACCCUGGUAGUCCACGCCGUAAACGAUGACUACUAGGUGUCGGGGAGCAAAGUUCUUCGGUGCCGCAGCAAACGCAAUAAGUAGUCCACCUGGGGAGUACGUUCGCAAGAAUGAAACUCAAAGGAAUUGACGGGGACCCGCACAAGCGGUGGAGCAUGUGGUUUAAUUCGAAGCAGCGCGAAGAACCUUACCUGCUCUUGACAUCCCGGUGACCGGCAUGUAAUGAUGCCUUUUCUUCGGAACACCGGUGACAGGUGGUGCAUGGUUGUCGUCAGCUCGUGUCGUGAGAUGUUGGGUUAAGUCCCGCAACGAGCGCAACCCUUAUCUUCAGUAGCCAGCAUUUCGGGUGGGCACUCUGGAGAGACUGCCAGGGAUAACCUGGAGGAAGGUGGGGAUGACGUCAAAUCAUCAUGCCCCUUAUGAGCAGGGCUACACACGUGCUACAAUGGCGUAAACAAAGGGAAGCAAACCUGCGAGGGUAAGCAAAUCUCAAAAAUAACGUCUCAGUUCGGAUUGUAGUCUGCAACUCGACUACAUGAAGCUGGAAUCGCUAGUAAUCGCGAAUCAGCAUGUCGCGGUGAAUACGUUCCCGGGUCUUGU